RNAcentral lists this long non-coding RNA (83 nucleotides) under Rhinopithecus bieti (black snub-nosed monkey). Its description in RNAcentral is "lncRNA (ENSRBIG00000045882.1)". The record is from RNAcentral. Lineage: Eukaryota; Metazoa; Chordata; Mammalia; Primates; Cercopithecidae.
GUUGAUGUCACCGAAGUGGUGGUGGUGAUGGGUGUCGGGGUUGAAGUCUGUGUGCUGGUGGAUGUUGUGGUUGGGGUCACCGU